GAGGGUAGAGCUCAGGGGUAGAGCGAGUGCCUAGCAUGCCUGAGGGUCCUGGGUUCUAUCCCCAGUGCCUCCA
This 73-nucleotide transfer RNA is filed under the name Camelus ferus (Wild Bactrian camel). It matches the Rfam family "tRNA". From Rfam's summary of the family: Transfer RNA (tRNA) molecules are approximately 80 nucleotides in length. Lineage: Eukaryota; Metazoa; Chordata; Mammalia; Artiodactyla; Camelidae. The record is from Rfam by way of RNAcentral.